AGUGAACGCUGGCGGUAGGCCUAACACAUGCAAGUCGAACGGCAGCACAGUAAGAGCUUGCUCUUACGGGUGGCGAGUGGCGGACGGGUGAGGAAUACAUCGGAAUCUACUUUUUCGUGGGGGAUAACGUAGGGAAACUUACGCUAAUACCGCAUACGACCUACGGGUGAACGCAGGGGAUCUUCGGACCUUGCGCGAUUGAAUGAGCCGAUGUCGGAUUAGCUAGUUGGCGGGGUAAAGGCCCACCAAGGCGACGAUCCGUAGCUGGUCUGAGAGGAUGAUCAGCCACACUGGAACUGAGACACGGUCCAGACUCCUACGGGAGGCAGCAGUGGUGAAUAUUGGACAAUGGGCGCAAGCCUGAUCCAGCCAUACCGCGUGGGUGAAGAAGGCCUUCGGGUUGUAAAGCCCUUUUGUUGGGAAAGAAAAGCAGCAGGUUAAUACCCCGCUGUUCUGACGGUACCCAAAGAAUAAGCACCGGCUAACUUCGUG
Molecule: ribosomal RNA, 492 nt
Filed under: uncultured bacterium
Lineage: Bacteria
Description: partial 16S ribosomal RNA
Rfam family: Bacterial small subunit ribosomal RNA
Source: RNAcentral